GAGACCUUCCCAAAUGAAGGAAAACGUGGACCAUUCAAAGGAGUCAUCAAUACGUUUUCACUUGGCAUAAAGAGGAUGAGAGAGAAGAGAGAGUACAAAGAUGUCACACUGCAGCUGAUCUUUCUCAUGACAGAGGAAGAAAAAAUGAAGACAAAACUCAACAAAAUCAUCCGUGAG
Long non-coding RNA from Cottoperca gobio, 177 nucleotides. RefSeq lists it as uncharacterized. The transcript is spliced from 3 exons. The record is from RefSeq and is a predicted model, not a curated record. NCBI's taxonomy places the organism in Eukaryota, Metazoa, Chordata, Actinopteri, Perciformes, Bovichtidae.